Molecule: long non-coding RNA, 937 nt
Organism: Hibiscus syriacus
Lineage: Eukaryota; Viridiplantae; Streptophyta; Magnoliopsida; Malvales; Malvaceae
Exons: 2
Source: RefSeq, a predicted model, not a curated record
CUCAUUUUACUUCUCAUCUCCCUCACUCAGCCGUUUCUUUCCCCUCUCUUAUUUAUUCUCCAUUAUUUUUUUCACUUCUCUUCUCACUCCCAGCAACCAAACUGAUGGCCACCACGACCUCCACUCCCCCCGGGGUUUCAACGAGGAGCCAAUAGGCUCCGAUAAAGGGCCUAGACACUACAAACUUUCCCUUUUUGUAAGCCAAACCCUAGAGCUAACCUAACCAUCCAAAACCUCUUCGAACCCGAAACCCUAAGGCUAAGAUCUCUACAAAAAUAACCCCCAUGACCCUGAAAACAACUGGAAACAACCAAGGGAUAAACGAUUUACCUUUGACUAAAUGGGGUUUUGGUUCCUAGCGACAGCGACGAAGCUUUCUGAACUGUAAAGUGCUGCCAUAUCUGCGUGGCCAAGGGAAUCUUUUCUCCCUCCGUCCUGGUUGUUAUUUUUGUUCCUGGUAUAAUCCGAGGCCUUUGAGGCGCUGGCAUGUACGUCGAAGAUUUAGAGGGGCGCAUGUACAUCUUACACGUGAAAACUGAACGGUCAACGUCCUGAGGUGAAGCUGGGCCGUUGGAUCGCUGAUCGGAUCCAAUAGUUGGGACCUUCUGCUAGCAGCGGCUGGUAUCUUUUAGGGUAAAACCCUAAGGUUCACUGCAUCUGGGCUGUCGAAUCUUAGGGGCCAUAUCUAAAGGCUAAAAUUCGCCUGUGCGAGAUGUAGGGUUUGAAACCCUAAUUGUCUACUGAUUGAGUUUGAUCUGAGCCAUCAUAUUGGUAAAAGAUCUAAUGGUUCAGAUCUCUUGGCGGCGUUGAACAUAGGAGCUAGGGUUUCUUUCACUGAUUUGGGCUCAUUUUGAUUGGUCCCUCAACCGAGCACCAUGUAAUUAAUUUUUGUAACUUGGGCCUAUAAAAAUAAACAUUUAGUUAGUAUCUUAUUUAA